UCUCCCUAUUUUUGGCGUCGUUCCCUCUUUUCUCUCCACCUCUUUUUUUUUUUUCUUUGCCUUAACCCGAAAGCGGAGAAUACUUUCCCCUCUGGCUGCCAUCUCAGAUGGUCCCGACAAAGGGCCGAUGACCCCCCAUGGCUCCCUAACUUUCUCCUUUUAAACCCUUGUUACACGAAACCACAAAAACCCAAAUAAAACCCUUACAAACCCUCACCCUAAAAUAUUACCUUGGAUGCUUUGAGGACUCCCUCCACUCCGGUGAAGCAAAAGAGGACCGGAAUCGAGGGAUCUCCUCAUCUUUAUGGCCUCUUUGCGUGUUUGGUGAGAUUUUGCAUGGCUAUCAUCACAGGUUUGACAGAGAGAUGAUGACAUUAGCGGUUGAAAUGGCGACUGUUAGGUGGCCGGAGCGGCAGCAGCGGGGGUUCUUUGCUCUAGUGGUGGCGGCGGCUGGUAGAGACUAGGGUUUAAAACCCCUAACUAAUUAGGGUUAGUGCAUUGGGCCUGGAUUUGGGCUUUGGUUCAUAAACUUUCAUAAAAUUUUAAUAUGGUCCCUAAUCAUUAUCUCAACUUGAGAUGUAUUAAUGAUUGAUAAAUCUGUUUAUUUGGUCAUGUAUUUGUGUUUUUAAUUUUAUAAUAGGUAUGAUUAUUGAA
Molecule: long non-coding RNA, 654 nt
Organism: Hibiscus syriacus
Lineage: Eukaryota; Viridiplantae; Streptophyta; Magnoliopsida; Malvales; Malvaceae
Exons: 3
Source: RefSeq, a predicted model, not a curated record